GUUUUAGUAGCUAAUUUAAGCGCCAGGCUUUUAACUUGGAGAUACACUAGUUGUCUAGGAUA
RNAcentral lists this transfer RNA (62 nucleotides) under Panopea globosa. Its description in RNAcentral is "tRNA-Lys". It matches the Rfam family "tRNA". Rfam says of the family: Transfer RNA (tRNA) molecules are approximately 80 nucleotides in length. The record is from RNAcentral. Lineage: Eukaryota; Metazoa; Mollusca; Bivalvia; Adapedonta; Hiatellidae.